This 332-nucleotide unclassified non-coding RNA is filed under the name soil metagenome. Its description in RNAcentral is "partial contains 5.8S ribosomal RNA, internal transcribed spacer 2, and large subunit ribosomal RNA". The stretch from base 1 to 120 matches the Rfam family "5.8S ribosomal RNA", at positions 35 to 154 of the family's 154-position model. The record is from RNAcentral.
GAUGAAGAACGCAGCGAAAUGCGAUAAGUAGUGUGAAUUGCAGAAUUCAGUGAAUCAUCGAAUCUUUGAACGCACAUUGCGCCCUUUGGUAUUCCUUAGGGCAUGCCUGUUCGAGCGUCAUUUAAACCUUCAAGCUCAGCUUGGUGUUGGGUGACUGUCCGCUUCACCGCGGACUCGCCUCAAAAUUAUUGGCGGCCGGUACAUUGGCUUCGAGCGCAGCAGAAACGCGAACUCGGGCCCGUCGUAUUGGCUCCCAGAAGCUAUCUUCACAAUUUUGACCUCGGAUCAGGUAGGGAUACCCGCUGAACUUAAGAAUAUCAAUAAGCGGAGGA